UUACACAUUAAAUUUUGUCCUGAUAUUUUUCAGAGAGAAUAAAGAGUUAGCAUCAUUGCCAGACGAGUAGAACCUGUAAAAAAGUUCUUGUUUUUAUAUAUUUUGUGCAUAUGUUUGAAGAGUUUUAUUUUAUUUUGUUAGACUCUAAAUUCUAAGUUCAUGUUUUGUAUAUAUAGUUACUGUACAUAUCACAUGAGAUGGUAGGUUGUAUUAUAUUUUUUUAUCCACGCAUGUAUAUAUUUUAUGGGCCCACAGCAUGGAAUGGCUUGAGCAGGAAUUGUGCCUCAUAUCGAGUAUCAGGGCAUGACAAAGAUCCUUAUCAAAGGUACCAUAUACAAAUUUUAUAAUUGAUGAAUAUUUUUCUAAACUUUGAGUUGUAUUUAAGGAUGUUUAAGCUUUCAUUCUGUAUUUUCUUUUUUUUUCUUCUUAACUUAAAAGUUUAAUCGAAUAGAACAUAACUUAGCUAGAAAUGUAGUAAGGACUAUUGAAAGAUAUAUAUUUCUACAUGAGCCUAAGUUUUUUGUUGACUUGCUUGAGCAAAACUGUUUUUACUGUUUAUGGAUGAUGACAUUUUCUUAAAAAAAUGUAAAUGUAAUCGUUGUUAUUGUAUUGACUUACAUUGUAUAAAGUAACACCGUACUAGAAAGAAAUAAGACAAAUUUUGUAGGUCAAUUAAAUAAGAAAGUAGAACUUAACUUGAAUGAAUUAUUUAAUCUCAUACAAACGAAUGA
Molecule: long non-coding RNA, 731 nt
Filed under: Carica papaya (papaya)
Lineage: Eukaryota; Viridiplantae; Streptophyta; Magnoliopsida; Brassicales; Caricaceae
Description: long non-coding RNA (CPAP_LNC006661)
Source: RNAcentral